RNAcentral lists this ribosomal RNA (491 nucleotides) under uncultured bacterium. RNAcentral describes it as "partial 16S ribosomal RNA". It matches the Rfam family "Bacterial small subunit ribosomal RNA", at positions 29 to 507 of the family's 1533-position model. The record is from RNAcentral.
AGUGAACGCUGGCGGUAGGCCUAACACAUGCAAGUCGAACGGCAGCACAGUAAGAGCUUGCUCUUACGGGUGGCGAGUGGCGGACGGGUGAGGAAUACAUCGGAAUCUACUUUUUCGUGGGGGAUAACGUAGGGAAACUUACGCUAAUACCGCAUACGACCUACGGGUGAAAGCAGGGGAUCUUCGGACCUUGCGCGAUUGAAUGAGCCGAUGUCGGAUUAGCUAGUUGGCGGGGUAAAGGCCCACCAAGGCGACGAUCCGUAGCUGGUCUGAGAGGAUGAUCGGCCACACUGGAACUGAGACACGGUCCAGACUCCUACGGGAGGCAGCGGGGGGAAUAUUGGACAAUGGGCGCAAGCCUGAUCCGGCCAUACCGCGUGGGUGAAGAAGGCCUUCGGGUUGUAAAGCCCUUUUGUUGGGAAAGAAAAGCAGCAGGUUAAUACCCCGCUGUUCUGACGGUACCCAAAGAAUAAGCACCGGCUAACUUCGUG